CUCUUUUUUUGUUGGCGCUUAGUGGCGGCGGCGAUUGUGUUGGUGUAAAGGUGUCCUUGACUUUGAUUGCCAUAAUUCUUUACCUCACAAAUCCGAACACCUCAGCUGAAGUCGCCUCAAAUGGAUCAAUGCAAGGAAAAACGAGAUGCGGUGGAAGUGAAUGCUGCUGUUGUUGAUGUUGACGAUGUUUCUUCUCCAAAAGCUAAGGAAAAAGAGAGUGUGGAUUUGGAAGCAGAGUCACUUCUGGCCAUGGCAGUGAUUAGGAAACAGCUGAAUGGGAUCCACAUUGAUUCAAACCAUCACAAUUGGAGCCCUCAAACACCUAACAUCGGUGUUUUUGACCCUUUUGCUCCUGCUUCUGAGGACAUGGUGCGAGCACCCCAGUCUCGCAAGUAUCACGAAGAAAUGAGGAACAAUAUUACUCGCAAACUUCUAUUUAGUUCUGCCAAUCAGCAUCAAGAUGAAUCUGUUUCAGAGUAAAAGCUAUUGCAGGAAGUUUUUCUUUUGUAUAAUUUUACAGGGAACAAUUUGCAUUUGACCAAAGCUAAUAAAUAGAUGUAACAUUAGCAGUAGCAGCAAUACUAUAAAGUACACUACUAUUGAUGUUAGAUUGUUUUACAAUGAACUGCAUUCUAGUUUAAUGGAAUAAUUUCUGUGUUUGUUAAAUCAGCUUUAAUGUUUUUGUUAUCAUAUGGAUUUUGUGCUUUUUAAUAAAGCUUUUCUGCUAUU
Molecule: RNA transcript, 729 nt
Organism: Lathyrus oleraceus (garden pea)
Lineage: Eukaryota; Viridiplantae; Streptophyta; Magnoliopsida; Fabales; Fabaceae
Exons: 2
Source: RefSeq, a predicted model, not a curated record